UCAGCAUUUCGGCCUUUUUUGGCUAAGAUCAAAUGCAAUUUUUGGCACCAAGGGGAAGGUGUCAGGGCUGGCUCUGGCCUUCCCAGUGCUGGCCUGGCAUUGCAGUACUUCCAGGCCCAGUGCCAGUUCC
This 130-nucleotide small nuclear RNA is filed under the name Alligator mississippiensis (American alligator). RNAcentral describes it as "U2 spliceosomal RNA". It matches the Rfam family "U2 spliceosomal RNA". From Rfam's summary of the family: U2 is a small nuclear RNA (snRNA) component of the spliceosome (involved in pre-mRNA splicing). Complementary binding between U2 snRNA (in an area lying towards the 5' end but 3' to hairpin I) and the branchpoint sequence (BPS) of the intron results the bulging out of an unpaired adenosine, on the BPS, which initiates a nucleophilic attack at the intronic 5' splice site, thus starting the first of two transesterification reactions that mediate splicing. The record is from Rfam by way of RNAcentral. Lineage: Eukaryota; Metazoa; Chordata; Crocodylia; Alligatoridae.